Long non-coding RNA from Ictalurus punctatus (channel catfish), 1149 nucleotides. RefSeq lists it as uncharacterized. NCBI's taxonomy places the organism in Eukaryota, Metazoa, Chordata, Actinopteri, Siluriformes, Ictaluridae. The transcript has 2 exons. The record is from RefSeq and is a predicted model, not a curated record.
CUUCCGGUACAGGGAAAGCUCCACACAGCGUUUCACCCGCGUUGAAAAAUUGUGAAGCGGGCGACGGUAGCCUAGGGAGUAAGACGCUGGACUACUGCUCAGAAGAUCCUGAGUUCAAAUCCCAGCACCACUAAGCCGUCACUGCUGGGCCCUGGAGCAAAACCCUCAGCCAUCACCUGCCCAGCUAAUGGGGUCUGUUAAAUGCCAUAAAUGUAAAUGAAUUAGUCCUUUAUCAGGUUAGUACUGGUGUGACAGUUACUGUCAUGAAUAUACACCUGUGUAGAUGAACUACUUUUAACGUAAGCUAAAUAUUAUUGCUAGCAAUGAUUUAAAUAUAUAUUUCCAUCUCUUGCAUUCAUUCACAACUGUAACGGAAAUCGUGUGUGUGGGGGGAAAAAAAAAACCACAGUACAACUUUUGCCAAAAUAAUUUUUUUUAUUGUGCAAUUUCAUGAACGGCAGCUUAUCUGAAUGUUAUUCCAAUAUAGUUAACCUGCAUGCACUAAGGUAUCAAACAGUUUAAAAAUUGAAAAGACACAUUUACAAAAUUUACACAAUACCCCAUAGGAAAAAUAUAUAAACCCAUGCACGGCCUGACCUGGAACAGCCCCUUUUUUUAUUCCCCAGGAUGCUUGCCUGUAUUACAUAAAGUCCACCCAUGAGGAAGUGUUACCUGAUCAGCCAGCUUUUCUUAUAGACUUAUCUAAAGUACACCCUCAUACAGCACUAUAAUAAGGAUUGUGGAACAAUGCUGUUUUCCAAACCCAUUACUAGACAGCUUGAGUUUAUACGUAUAUGACUUAAAAACAAGCCAAAACCCACCCUUUCCCAGUGAAACUUUUUAGAAAAAAACUUGCAAAAUAUCUACCUUUACUUAAGUUUCCUGAAAAUGCCAAUUAUCCAGCAGCCUUAUUGCUUUUCUUCCUCCACUUGCAACUUAAAAGACAUGCAACAUCAUUAAAACACCACAAUCAACUUACCUGAGUUUGUGUCAGUCAACUGGCAAGCAGUUUAAUAAGGUGAAGGGCUGAUUGUGUUUUAAGUGCUUAAAACUUUGUCAAUGGGCAAUUCAGGCUCACAGCAUUCAGAAGAGAGGAUGUUAGAUAUGGCUGUUAGGCAUGUGGGAACAGGUGGUUUAGAGUUAGAAGGG